AUUCCACUUGGGACAGGAAAUGACCUCGCUAGAUCAUUUGGAUGGCUGUAAAGCGAUAUCUCAAGAAGGCCGUUUCUGCUUCGGCCGUCCAUCUUGAUAGGUACUCAACCUAUUGAUGCACAUGGACGUGAUGACUCUAGC
Long non-coding RNA from Hordeum vulgare subsp. vulgare (domesticated barley), 141 nucleotides. RefSeq lists it as uncharacterized. NCBI's taxonomy places the organism in Eukaryota, Viridiplantae, Streptophyta, Magnoliopsida, Poales, Poaceae. The record is from RefSeq and is a predicted model, not a curated record. The transcript is spliced from 3 exons.